RNAcentral lists this long non-coding RNA (745 nucleotides) under Oryctolagus cuniculus (rabbit). RNAcentral's name for it is "lncRNA (ENSOCUG00000038360.1)". Lineage: Eukaryota; Metazoa; Chordata; Mammalia; Lagomorpha; Leporidae. The record is from RNAcentral.
GCACAACUGCACAUCGCACACCUGCUGGUUGAAAAAACGUCCCCUGAAGACACACAGCCCGGAAACUGCAGACCCGGGCUCCGAGGCCUUUGUCUCAGCUCCGGAUGCUUGCUUUUCCCUUCUUCUGUGAGCUGCCCCUCUCCUUCGCUCUCCUCUCCCCGGCAGUUCCUCCUCCCCUCCGCUUCUCCAGGCUCCCAGGGGCCAGUCUGCUUCUCUCCCCUGUGCACCGGCGACCAGGGAGGGCAGAAGGCGGCAUCCGUCCUGUGCUGCGAGCCUCUUAGCCAGACAAGCCAGACACCCGGUGACCUCCCGGAAAGACCCGAAGGCCACAGUUCCUGUUGGGAGGAGAAAGCUGGCCAGCGCCCAACCUUAAGUGUCAUCUCCGCGCCCUCUGGCAGGUCCUAAAGCCCACUGCGUGUCAGGUGCUCUGGGGACAGCAGUGACCAGGACUGGCCCAGUCUGCACCCGAGAAGGGCUUGCACUCCAGCAGGGGACGCAGGUACUGAAUACUUAAGGACAAGUGUGAUGAAUGUGACAGGAGGAAGCAGGGGGUGCUUGGGGGCAAUGACAAGGUGAGCUAAGCUGUUUGGGAAUUAGCGAGGCUUCCGUGGAGAAGUGACCUGUAGGGUGGGGUCUGAGGAACGAUGAGGAGGACCUAAUCCAGGGGGACAAUGGGAGAGGUGAAGGCCCUGAGUGGAAAAGAACAUUGGGGCCGGCACUGUGGAGUAGCGAGUAAAGCCGCCAC